UACGGGGGGAGCAAGCGUUGUUCGGAUUUACUGGGCGUAAAGGGCGCGUAGGCGGCGCGACAAGUCACUUGUGAAAUCUCUGGGCUCAACCCAGAACGGUCAAGUGAUACUGUCGUGCUAGAGUGCGGAAGGGGCAACUGGAAUUCUUGGUGUAGCGGUGAAAUGCGUAGAUAUCAAGAGGAACACCUGCGGCGAAGGCGGGUUGCUGGGCCGACACUGACGCUGAGGCGCGAAAGCCAGGGGAGCGAACGGG
This 253-nucleotide ribosomal RNA is filed under the name uncultured bacterium. Its description in RNAcentral is "partial 16S ribosomal RNA". It matches the Rfam family "Bacterial small subunit ribosomal RNA", at positions 524 to 776 of the family's 1533-position model. The record is from RNAcentral. RNAcentral also lists the same sequence under 1 other name.